This 397-nucleotide ribosomal RNA is filed under the name uncultured bacterium. RNAcentral's name for it is "partial 16S ribosomal RNA". It matches the Rfam family "Bacterial small subunit ribosomal RNA", at positions 523 to 918 of the family's 1533-position model. The record is from RNAcentral.
AUACGUAGGGGGCGAGCGUUGUCCGGAAUGAUUGGGCGUAAAGGGCGCGUAGGCGGCCCGGUAAGUCUGGAGUGAAAGUCCUGUUUUUAAGAUGGGAAUUGCUUUGGAUACUGUCGGGCUCGAGUGCAGGAGAGGUAAGUGGAAUUCCCAGUGUAGCGGUGAAAUGCGUAGAGAUUGGGAGGAACACCAGUGGCGAAGGCGACUUACUGGACUGUAACUGACGCUGAGGCGCGAAAGUGUGGGGAGCAAACAGGAUUAGAUACCCUGGUAGUCCACACUGUAAACGAUGAAUGCUAGGUGUAGGGGGUAUCGACCCCUUCUGUGCCGCAGUCAACACAAUAAGCAUUCCGCCUGGGGAGUACGGCCGCAAGGUUGAAACUCAAAUGAAUUGACGGGG